This is a small nucleolar RNA of Ursus americanus (American black bear), 74 nucleotides long. NCBI's taxonomy places the organism in Eukaryota, Metazoa, Chordata, Mammalia, Carnivora, Ursidae. The record is from Ensembl.
UGGAGCCUAUGAUGAUUAGUUAUCUCUGUCAGAAAAAUCUUGGCUGAGGGGAAAGUAUUUAUUCUGAGGCUUCG